UAUAAUAAGAUGAAAAAAGGAAGGCAAAAAACCUGAAAACCAACACAAGACCAUAAUAUAAUUCCUUGUCGAUUUAAGUCCUACCCAACCCAACCGCCAUCAUAUCUUUAGUUGUUCCAAGCUCUUUACUGCUUCAAAUUCUUGCAGGUCAUUGGCAGUUGCACUUCCAGUUUCCUCUACAUGAGCUGGUGAUUUAGUUGGCAGGGAAGGCAAUGAAGCAGCUGAUGGAUCUUCUUUUCGAACAACUAGAGGAUCUUCUUUUCGUACUGGUGGAGCAGCAAAAACUGGAACAGCUUGCCUAACACAAACUGGUGGGGCAAUUCGCAUGUGUGGAGCCCGAAUCACCUGAGGGG
Molecule: long non-coding RNA, 353 nt
Filed under: Vitis vinifera (wine grape)
Lineage: Eukaryota; Viridiplantae; Streptophyta; Magnoliopsida; Vitales; Vitaceae
Description: long non-coding RNA (VVIN_LNC001700)
Source: RNAcentral